This 981-nucleotide long non-coding RNA is filed under the name Trifolium pratense (red clover). RNAcentral's name for it is "long non-coding RNA (TPRA_LNC001134)". Lineage: Eukaryota; Viridiplantae; Streptophyta; Magnoliopsida; Fabales; Fabaceae. The record is from RNAcentral.
AAGUACCACAAUUAUUCAUCGACACAAAUAAACAAAACAUAUAACUUUUACAACAUAAAGUGAUCAAUAAUUUGCUAUCUGUUGCAAGCUUUGGAGAAAAAAUAUGGCGGAAAUUAUUAAGUUUGCUUAUUUAAUGAUCUUUUUUAUUUCUUUGUUUCUUGUUGUAACUGAUGUUAAUGGUAAAUCACUUUUGUAUCCUUUUGAAUUUUCUUGUUUAUCUUCUACAAAAUAUGUCAUCCCUUGUGGUAAUUUUUGUUUCUUAUUUUUAUAUCACAGCAUUGUGGAAAAAAUGCAAAGACGAUGAUGGUUGUCGGUACUUUCGGUGUAUAUCUCCUUAUGUUCCAAAAUGUGUUUAUCGUACAUGUAAAUGUCUUCCUCUGAAGGAUGAGAAUCCUCUCUAUAUCAAUACCCUUAUCCCUCGCUGAUAUCUUUAGAGUCUUCUCCAGCUUCCACACAAUCAGAUCGUAAAUGUCAUUUUUUUUUUGCUUAGAUUAGGAUUUCCGACGGUCUUCACAGAGCUGGUUACUUUGGUGGGUUGCAGUUUGCUUAGUUUUGUGUGGAGUAGGUUCGAUUGAAAUCGUUUACUUUUAGCAUGGCAAGUGUGCUUAUAGUUGAGAGAUGGUUCUAUUCUGCUUCAAUUCUGAAAUGCUACGUCCGAAAUUUGGUGUUUGGGUAGGAGUUGGUGUUAGAAGGACGAUAAUGUGUCUUUAUUUGAAUUUCAAAUGAUGUUGUUUUUAUUUAGGUGAUUUCAAAUGCACAAUUUUUAUUUUAUUUAUCUUUUUAGUUUCUUAACUAGUGCCCCGAGAACACUAGUUAAGCAAGACCUUUGUAAAAUAACUACUACAUCCGUUAAAUAUAAGACUCUUUGAAAAAAUUACUGAGAUUAAGAAAGUUGAUUGUUCCAUGAAAUUUGUUGACGAUUGAUAUGAUUUUUACAAUUUUAUAUCCGUCAAGAGAAAUAAUAAAUUAUUGAUUUUUUAG